UGGGGAAUAUUGCACAAUGGGCGAAAGCCUGAUGCAGCGACGCCGCGUGAGGGAUGACGGCCUUCGGGUUGUAAACCUCUUUCAGCAGGGAAGAAGCGAAAGUGACGGUACCUGCAGAAGAAGCGCCGGCUAACUACGUGCCAGCAGCCGCGGUAAUACGUAGGGCGCAAGCGUUGUCCGGAAUUAUUGGGCGUAAAGAGCUCGUAGGCGGUUAGUCGCGUCUGCUGUGAAAACUCGAGGCUCAACCUCGGGCUUGCAGUGGGUACGGGCUGACUAGAGUGCGGUAGGGGUGACUGGAAUUCCUGGUGUAGCGGUGGAAUGCGCAGAUAUCAGGAGGAACACCGAUGGCGAAGGCAGGUCACUGGGCCGCAACUGACGCUGAGGAGCGAAAGCAUGGGGAGCGAACAGGAUUAGAUACCCUGGUAGUCCAUGCCGUAAACGUUGGGCACUAGGUGUGGGUCCAUUCCACGGAUUCCGUGCCGCAGCAAACGCAUUAAGUGCCCCGCCUGGGGAGUACGGCCGCAAGGCUAAAACUCAAAGGAAUUGACGGGGUC
Molecule: ribosomal RNA, 554 nt
Filed under: uncultured bacterium
Lineage: Bacteria
Description: partial 16S ribosomal RNA
Rfam family: Bacterial small subunit ribosomal RNA
Source: RNAcentral